AAAUGGUAGUAGCACAAGGGAGGAUAUAGUUAAUGCUGCCUGGAUAUCAGCAGAAGUUUUACAGGGCUCUGAAGCUGAGUGUUGAAGAAUUCUCAGAAUUAUGACACAUAAUGGGAGAAACAGCAGUCUAGGCAGGUCUAGGCAGAGGGAACAGAAUGAACCAGAACAUUGAAAUAGCAUGGGCACAUUUUAAUACCCAUGUCCUGGAGGGCAAGAAACUCUCUUAAGACUCAACUGAUUGUAUCUCUCUUCAAGAGGAGAGUAAUGUAGAGCAGCAGACAACUCCAUGCUUUCCAGACAUCCACAUUCUGCCUUCAGUGAGUAAGUCCAUUCAUUUCCAUUGAGGCUCUCAUGAGUACUGUAAGAUAUUUUAGGGCAGAGCUGCAUCUCUUUCAUUUUCUCUGUUGAUGUAUAAUGCCUUGACCAUGCUAUUCCUAUAGAGGUGUCUCAGUCUAUUGCAUCAACCAGUUAACAUCAGGAAACCUCUCAAAUCUUCAAAAAAAAGUGUCCACAGUUGUCCAUUAUAAGCCUAGUUUUUAUGUUUUGUCCUUUUUAUUUCCCUCUACUCAAGGGUCCUAUGCUAAUAUCUCUUGCCCUAUCCACUGGUUCUUCAUUGCUCUUAAAGAACUUCUCAUCUUUCAUCCUGUCAUAGCCUCAGAAAACUCUGUAGAUCCUAGAGACAACAACAAGGUGCUUCCAUGAACCUUGGGGCAACCUCGCCUCUGUCAUCUCAGGGUGAUGAGGUCCCUUUACUUACCUCCACUGCUUCUUCAUCUACUACAUCUGCCAAAAAGUAAGAGCUGGAUUGGACAUGAUGGAGAGAGUAUUCCAAAGGCAGAACUUGCCUGCCUGCCACUGUUUGACUCAAAUUUGUCUUCUUACUCUUACCCUGGUUACCGAGAAGAAAGUAUUGGAGAUGUCUUUAAUUUUGGAGGCAAGAGGGAAGAGUUCAGAUUCUUCCUUACAACAUUUGUCAUGGAUUAACUGUAAUCAGGGGUCAGAGUCAAGAGUAACAAAUAACAAAAUUUUAUAACUAUGUAGGGUGAUGGAUGUUAAGUAGACAUUGUGUUGAUCAUUUUGCAAUCUAUAUAAAUAUUGGAUCAUGUUGCAUACCUGAAACUGGUAUAAUGUUGUGUGUCAAGUAUAG
This 1147-nucleotide long non-coding RNA is filed under the name Equus caballus (horse). RNAcentral's name for it is "lncRNA (ENSECAG00000056697.1)". The record is from RNAcentral. Lineage: Eukaryota; Metazoa; Chordata; Mammalia; Perissodactyla; Equidae.